CUGACCUCAAAUCAGGUAGGACUACCCGCCGAACUUAAGCAUAUCAAUAAGCGGAGGAAAAGAAACUAACCAGGAUUCCCCUAGUAACGGCGAGUGAAGCGGGAAGAGCUCAAAUUUGUAAUCUGGCGGUCUAUGGCCGUCCGAGUUGUAGUCUGGAGAAGCGUUUUCUGCGUCGGACCGUGUACAAGUCCCUUGGAACGGGGCGUCGUAGAGGGUGAGAAUCCCGUCUUUGACACGGACUGCCGAUGCUUUGUGAUGCGCUCUCAAAGAGUCGAGUUGUUUGGGAAUGCAGCUCAAAACGGGUGGUAAAUUCCAUCUAAAGCUAAAUAUGGGCGAAAGACCGAUAGCGAACAAGUACCGUGAGGGAAAGAUGAAAAGCACUUUGGAAAGAGAGUUAAACAGUACGUGAAAUUGUUGAAAGGGAAACGCUUGAAGUCAGUCGCGUCUUCCGGGACUCAGCCUAGCUUUUGCCUGGCGUAUUUCCUGGGGUGACGGGCCAGCAUCGAUUUCGACCGUCGGAGAAGGGCUUUGGGAACGUGGCACCUUCGGGUGUGUUAUAGCCCUCGGUCGUAUGCGACGGUCGGGAUCGAGGAUCGCAGCACGCCUUUUUGGCCGGGGUUCGCCCACGUAACGUGCUAGGA
Molecule: ribosomal RNA, 641 nt
Filed under: Ramaria cystidiophora
Lineage: Eukaryota; Fungi; Basidiomycota; Agaricomycetes; Gomphales; Gomphaceae
Description: eukaryotic LSU rRNA
Rfam family: Eukaryotic large subunit ribosomal RNA
Source: RNAcentral